Pteropus vampyrus (large flying fox) is the source of this 119-nucleotide ribosomal RNA. Lineage: Eukaryota; Metazoa; Chordata; Mammalia; Chiroptera; Pteropodidae. The record is from Ensembl.
UGUUAGGACCAUACCACCCUGAACGUGCCCAAUGUUGUCUGAGCUCGGAAGCUAAGCAGGCUCAGGCCUGGUUAGUACUUGGAUGGGAGACCACCUAGGAAUACCAAGUGCUUUAGGUU